GUUCACCAUUUUGUGUGUCCAAGGACCACCUACUUUUUACAUAUGACAAGAACUACCCACCUCCACUCUUCAGGACAGAACAUGCUGGAGAAAAGAGUUACAAUGAGAAAAUAUAUGGGAACAAAAUACCUAUGCAAUGCAGAAGUCUGCAUAACUAAACCACUCAGAGGAAAAAAGUGCUCUUCCUCACUCUCUGGCUUUCUCACUUUCUGGGAAGACAUUUGUCAUACUGUGAGAUACCCUAUGAAAAGUCUCAAAUUGCAAGAAGUGAGAGGCUCCAGACAAUAGCCAGAUUGCCAUUUCAGGACACCUCCUACAUCUGAAGAAAUAUGUAUUGAUCUUGAAAUAUUUUUCUCCUCCAAAUAAAAGUCAGUAUGAUAACAAC
This 385-nucleotide long non-coding RNA is filed under the name Pongo abelii (Sumatran orangutan). RNAcentral describes it as "lincRNA". The record is from RNAcentral. Lineage: Eukaryota; Metazoa; Chordata; Mammalia; Primates; Hominidae.